Molecule: long non-coding RNA, 1715 nt
Organism: Oryza brachyantha (malo sina)
Lineage: Eukaryota; Viridiplantae; Streptophyta; Magnoliopsida; Poales; Poaceae
Exons: 7
Source: RefSeq, a predicted model, not a curated record
CCGGUCGCCGCCGCUGCUCCCUCGGCCAGCGACGAUAGCAGUCGCGCCUCCCCCUCGGUCACCGCCUCUCCUCAGCCCCUGUCCAUCUCUCCCUCUCCCGGCGCCCUCCCUCACCCCGCCGUCGCCGCGGCCGUGCCUCACCCUCAGUCGCCGCCCCUCAGCCCGCCGUCUAUCUCUCCCUCUCCCGGCGGCAGUCGUGGCCCUCUCUCUCACCGGACGGCGAGGCCGCUAUUUCCAUUGCCGGACACCGCGCUGAUGCCCCUCACCCUGCCUGUCUCCACCGCCGCUCCCUCGGUCCACUGUCCCCGCCGCGCCUCCCCCCGGUCGUCGCCCCUCAGCCCACCACGGACUGCCACGCCUCUACCCCAGCGAGGAGCAGCAGCGACCCUCUCUCUCACCGGACGCUGUGCCCGCUUGUCUCCCUCACCGGACGCCGCCGCGCUCGCUUUCUCUGGACUCCAGGCCCGCUGCUCCCUCUGCCCCAAAUUUCAGAGAAAAUAUUGCCCACGUAUUUGUUUAGUUGCUUUCCUUUGCUGAGAGACUUGGAAGACCCCUAAAAUGUACUGUAUCCCCCAGUUCAGAUGAGCACUAAAAGAAGAGACAGAAAAGAAAAGACCAAGAGACUGCUGCCUGUCAAGAAAUGGAGGAGAUCAAAUUCAAGGAACCAUUGUUGGAUGGAAAGUUCUGAGAGAGAUGGCAUCUGGAGGGCGUGACUGUGAGCAUGUGAGGCUAAAGUUGGCAAUUGUAGUGGAGGUGAUAUAUCAUCUGUCUUCCUUCUAUCUGCACUGAGUAGCAAAGCUGGAGAUGAGAAGAAGACUGGUGGCAAUUCAUAGGGACAAUAUUUGCCCGCAAAAAGUGAACAACGAUCUAGACAAGGGUUGUAUCCAGCAAAGCCAAACAGUUCUAAGAAAUGGUUCUGCUGCAUGCAACCUACUGCUGCUGAAUCUUGAAGAUCAUGGGCUUAUUAUUGGAUUGAGGAAGCGGCUACCUUGUUAAAAUCUCAAAAAGCUCCACGAUAUCCAUGGGAACUUGUUAGCAAAUCUGCAGGUAUACUUAUGAUGCACUGAAGUGUUAUGCACCAGGAAUGGUUGAAGUUCUCAUUGUCAUUGAUAGUGUGCAGAACUCAGCAUUUUUAGAAUGAGAGAUCCAGAAGAUAAAGUCUGGAAUAUCUGAAGUUUGAGAGAAUUUUGUGUACUGCGUUGACGCGCUUGCUGUGGCGGUACUCGUCAAGAAGAUGUUCCGCGUGUCCGACACGGUCACCGAGCUCGUCGUGUCCUCCCACCGAGCUUGCGUGUCCUCGCUCCACUGCAUCUGCAAGAAAUGCAGCGACGACGUGGAGUUUCCGGCGACGGCUGCGGCGAGGCAGGUCACCGUGGUCGAGGCGGUCCAGGUGGGCGUGUUCCAGAAUGUGAUGAUGCUGCUGCAGGUUGGGUGCAGGGAGGCAACAAAGGAGAAGGCGACCGUGCUGCUCAAGUUGAUGAUCAAGUAUGAAUCCAGAGGAAACUGUAUUGAUGCCAUGGAUUUCAGAGGGCUCAAGAGGGUUUCUUGAACCGAAGCAAAAACUAAAUUGUAAUUAUGAGAAUAUGUCUUAGAAUAGGUCCAUAUAUACACAUGGUACAUCAUGCAAGAAUUUUAGUUAGGAAAUGUACAGAUGUUAAGGAUGUUUUGUCUUUAUAAACAUUUUUGAUUUGCUUGAUAUUAUAUUGUGGUCUAAA